RNAcentral lists this ribosomal RNA (445 nucleotides) under uncultured bacterium. RNAcentral describes it as "partial 16S ribosomal RNA". It matches the Rfam family "Bacterial small subunit ribosomal RNA", at positions 354 to 796 of the family's 1533-position model. The record is from RNAcentral.
GUAGGGAAUAUUGGACAAUGGGCGAAAGCCUGAUCCAGCCAUGCCGCGUGAUAGAUGAAGGCCCUCUGGGUUGUAAAUAUCUUUUAUCUGGGAAGAAACUCCUCUAUUCUUAGAGGCCUGACGGUACCAGAGGAAUAAGCACCGGCUAACUCCGUGCCAGCAGCCGCGGUAAUAAGGAGGGUGCAAGCGUUAUCCGGAUUCACUGGGUUUAAAGGGUGCGUAGGCGGGUUGAUAAGUCAGUGGUGAAAGCUCCGGGCUUAACUUGGAAACUGCCAUUGAUACUGUCAGUCUUGAAUGUCGUAGAGGUAAGCGGAAUGUUGCAUGUAGCGGUGAAAUGCUUAGAUAUGUUACAGAACACCAAUUGCGAAGGCAGCUUACUAUGCGAUAAUUGACGCUGAGGCACGAAAGCGUGGGGAGCAAACAGGAUUAGAUACCCGAGUAGUCC